ACGAUUUCUUAGGUUCAAACUGCAGCAGCAGACCGAUCUACUGACAGCAUCGAAUGAGUAAACGCGUCUCUCGUCUUGUCGCGUCCUUACUAACUUGUGCAUUCUCGUGUAAUGCCGUUUCUUCAGGGUGUGGUCAGACAGCUGCCGCAGGAGCUUCCCGGUGCUCCUGAAGAGCAGCCCAAAUCCAAAGCUCCUCUUGAAGACCCGAUGCACCACCACGGGCGCCUGAAGGAAGAGAAGAGGCGUUUGCAGAAGGAAUUGGACAAGUAUAAAGCCAAGCUGCUGCGAUCGCAACAACAGUAUAUCGAGCGCUUGAAUUACGGAGUUGGCCUGCAGAUUGCUAUAGAGAAGAUGGAGAGGGAAGUAACAGCUUCUUGUGUGAAACAGCAAAGCGUUCUGGUAGCAUCUGCUGCAGCUGCGGUCAUCAAACAUCUGGAGGAGCGCGUGCAACGGCUCGAAGCUCAAAAUGCCAGACUGGAAGCCACGGCCCAGCAACAAGCCAUGAUCAUCGAGGCCCUCCAGAAAGAGCUGCAAGCCUCUGCCUCAUCACCGCCAAACUGUCAGUCGGCAGUGAUGAGAUGAUGCUGGAGCCAAGGAAGAGCCAAUUCCAGAAAGCAAAGAGCAGAUCUGAAGACACGAGCCUGGAAAACUCUGACUCCACCUCGUGCAGCUCCCCCCCGGCAUUUUGUUCCACACGUGCUGCUCCACCUUGCUGUUCAAUAAACUUUGCCAGCUAGUCUGCGUCUUUGUCGUC
Molecule: long non-coding RNA, 754 nt
Filed under: Anas platyrhynchos platyrhynchos (common mallard)
Lineage: Eukaryota; Metazoa; Chordata; Aves; Anseriformes; Anatidae
Description: lncRNA (ENSAPLG00000027537.1)
Source: RNAcentral